GUGAUGGANGAAGGCUAAGGUCACGAACCGGAUUAGAUACCCGGGUAGUCUUAGCUGUAAACGAUGUGGGCCAGGUGUUGGCAUUACUACGAGUGAGGUCAGUGCCAAAGGGAAGCCGUUAAGCCCACCAUCUGGGGAGUACGGUCGCAAGGNUGAAANUUAAAGGAAUUGGCGGGGGAGCACCACAACGGGUGGAGCUUGCGGUUUAAUUGGAUUCAACGCCGGAAAACUCACCGGAGAGGACAGCGAGAUGAAGGUCAGGCUGAAGACCUUACCGGAUUAGCUGAGAGGUGGCGCAUGGCCGUCGGCAGUUCGUGUCGUGAAACAUCCUGUUAAGUCAGGCAACGGGCGAGACCCGCACUCACAGUUGCCAGCAUGUUNUUCGGAACGAUGGGCACUCUAUGAGGACUGCCACCACUAAGAUGGAGGAAGAAGCGGGCCACGGUAGGUCAGUACGCCCCGAAUCUUCCGGGCUACACGCGUGCUACAAUGGGUAGUACAAUAGGUAUCAACCCCGAAAGGGGAAGGUAAUCCCCUAAAGCUGCCCUUAGUUGGGAUCGAGGGCUGCAACUCGCCCUCGUGAACCAGGAAUCCGUAGUAAUCGCCUCUCAAAAUGAGGCGGUGAAUAUGUCCCUGCUCCUUGCACACACCGCCCGUCAAGCCAGCCGAGUGGGGUUUGGGUGAGGCCAUC
This 691-nucleotide ribosomal RNA is filed under the name uncultured Methanomicrobia archaeon. RNAcentral's name for it is "bacterial SSU rRNA". It matches the Rfam family "Archaeal small subunit ribosomal RNA", at positions 697 to 1387 of the family's 1478-position model. The record is from RNAcentral. Lineage: Archaea; Methanobacteriati; Methanobacteriota; Methanomicrobia.